AUACUUCCCCGACAGAGGAGAUACCAUGAUCACAAAGGCGGUUUUCCCAGAGCGAGGCUUACCCAUUGCAUAUGGGAUGUGCUGAUCCCUGGGUUCCCCAGAUGUGGGAAACUCCACUGCAUAAUAUGUGGUAGUGGGAGACCACGUCUGCACUCUCCCC
This 160-nucleotide small nuclear RNA is filed under the name Myotis brandtii (Brandt's bat). RNAcentral describes it as "U1 spliceosomal RNA". It matches the Rfam family "U1 spliceosomal RNA". From Rfam's summary of the family: U1 is a small nuclear RNA (snRNA) component of the spliceosome (involved in pre-mRNA splicing). The record is from Rfam by way of RNAcentral. Lineage: Eukaryota; Metazoa; Chordata; Mammalia; Chiroptera; Vespertilionidae.